CCUACGGGGCGCAGCAGUGGGGGAUAUUGCACAAUGGGGGGAACCCUGAUGCAGCGACGCCGCGUGGGCGAUGGAGUGCUUCGGCAUGUAAAGCCCUAUCAGCAGGGAAGAAAAUGACGGUACCUGAGUAAGAAGCCCCGGCUAACUACGUGCCAGCAGCCGCGGUGAUACGUAGGGGGCAAGCGUUAUCCGGAUUUACUGGGUGUAAAGGGAGCGUAGACGGCAGUGCAAGUCUGGAGUGAAAGGCGGGGGCUCAACCCCCGGACUGCUCUGGAAACUGUACGGCUGGAGUGCAGGAGAGGUAA
Molecule: ribosomal RNA, 305 nt
Filed under: uncultured bacterium
Lineage: Bacteria
Description: bacterial SSU rRNA
Rfam family: Bacterial small subunit ribosomal RNA
Source: RNAcentral